AUGAACGCUGGCGGCGUGCCUAAUACAUGCAAGUCGAGCGAACAGAUGAGGAGCUUGCUCCUCUGACGUUAGCGGCGGACGGGUGAGUAACACGUGGAUAACCUACCUAUAAGACUGGGAUAACUUCGGGAAACCGGUGCUAAUACCGGAUAAUAUAUUGAACCGCAUGGUUCAAUAGUGAAAGACGGUUUUGCUGUCACUUAUAGAUGGAUCCGCGCCGCAUUAGCUAGUUGGUAAGGUAACGGCUUACCAAGGCAACGAUGCGUAGCCGACCUGAGAGGGUGAUCGGCCACACUGGAACUGAGACACGGUCCAGACUCCUACGGGAGGCAGCAGUAGGGAAUCUUCCGCAAUGGGCGAAAGCCUGACGGAGCAACGCCGCGUGAGUGAUGAAGGUCUUCGGAUCGUAAAACUCUGUUAUUAGGGAAGAACAAAUGUGUAAGUAACUAUGCACGUCUUGACGGUACCUAAUCAGAAAGCCACGGCUAACUACGUG
Molecule: ribosomal RNA, 496 nt
Filed under: uncultured bacterium
Lineage: Bacteria
Description: partial 16S ribosomal RNA
Rfam family: Bacterial small subunit ribosomal RNA
Source: RNAcentral